RNAcentral lists this ribosomal RNA (413 nucleotides) under uncultured bacterium. Its description in RNAcentral is "bacterial SSU rRNA". It matches the Rfam family "Bacterial small subunit ribosomal RNA", at positions 494 to 917 of the family's 1533-position model. The record is from RNAcentral.
CGUGUCUCUAGUGCCAGCAGCCGCGGUAAUACGUAGGUGGCGAGCGUUAUCCGGAUUUAUUGGGCGUAAAGCGUCCGCAGCCGGCUUAUUAAGUCUAGAAUAAAAGCCUGGAGCUUAACUCCAGUUCGUUCUAGAAACCGGUAGGCUUGAGUGUGGUAGAGGCAAGUGGAAUUUCUAGUGUAGCGGUAGAAUGCGUAGAUAUUAGAAGGAACACCAGUGGCGAAGGCGACUUGCUGGGCCAUUACUGACGGUCAGGGACGAAAGCGUGGGGAGCAAAUAGGAUUAGAUACCCUAGUAGUCCACGCCGUAAACGAUGAGUACUAAGUGUCGGGUUACCGGUGCUGAAGUUAACACAUUAAGUACUCCGCCUGAGUAGUACGGUCGCAAGGCUGAAACUUAAAUGAAUUGGCGGG